RNAcentral lists this ribosomal RNA (696 nucleotides) under Paramoeba aestuarina. RNAcentral describes it as "partial Bacterial large subunit ribosomal RNA". It matches the Rfam family "Bacterial large subunit ribosomal RNA", at positions 1122 to 1866 of the family's 2925-position model. The record is from RNAcentral. Lineage: Eukaryota; Discosea; Flabellinia; Dactylopodida; Paramoebidae.
UUUAAAGAGUGCGUAACAGCUCACUAGUCGAGCGGUUCGGCAUGGAUAAUAAUCGGGCAUAAACAUAUUACCGAAGCUAUGGCAUAUUAAUUUAUAUUGAUAUGGGUAGGGGAGCAUUGUAACAACGUAGAAGGUGUAUUGCGAGGUACAUUGGAGUGGUUACAAAAGAAAAUGUAGGCAUAAGUAACGAUAAUGCGGGCGAGAAACCCGCACACCGAAAGACCAAGGUUUCCUCAGCUAUGCUAAUCAGCUGAGGGUUAGUCGGGUCCUAAGGCGAACCCGAAAGGGGUAGUCGAUGGCCAAGCAGUUAAUAUUCUGCUACUUGCCCCACGUUAAAAGCGGACGGAGGCGAAAAGUUGGUGCGUACUGACGGAAUAGUACGUUGAAUCCAGUGGUAACACGGAGAUAGUACACAAAAGCUACGGCCGGCGUGAUAAUCCAGCGGAUCGACUUCCAAGAAAAGCGAGUGGUGGCAACCCGUACCGUAAACCGACACAGGUAGUUGGGAUGAGAAUUCUAAGGUGCUCGAGAGAUUCAUGGCUAAGGAACUAGGCAAAAUAGGCCCGUAACUUCGGGAGAAGGGUCGCCCACAGCAAUGUGGGCCGCAGUGAAAAGGUCCAGGCGACUGUUUAUCAAAAACACAGGACUCUGCUAAGUCGGCUUCAAGACGACGUAUAGGGUCUGACGCCUGCCCGG